AACAGAAAUCAGUGUCAGAGUUUAAAACCUGGGCUAAGGUUACACCUGGUAUUAACAUCCAUUUUGUGUGAUGCGGUUACAAAUAUUGAUGUAAACGGGUUAUAAACUUUUUUUGAAAGAAAUUAACACUUGUAUUCAGCAAAGAUGCAUUAAAUUGAUCAAAAUGACAGUAAAGACCUUUAUAAUGUUACACAAAUUUCUAUUUCAAAUAAAUGCUGUUCUUUUGAUUUUUUUUUUUAAUUCAUCAUGGAAUCCUGAAAAAAUGUUUCCACAAAAAUAUUAGGUAGCACAACUGUUAAACAUUUAUAAUAAUAAGAAAUGUAGGGCUGUCACUAACGAUUAUUUUGGUAAUUGAGUAAUCAGUCGAUUAUUUUGAUGAUCAAUCAGGUAAUCUAUAGAUUAUUGUGAUGAUUAAUUGGGUAAUCUGUCGACGGUUAAUGGGUGAUCUGUCAACUAUUUUGACGAUUAAUCAGGUAAUCUGUCGACUAUUUUGACGAAUUAAAUGGGUAAUCUGUCGACUAUUUUGACGGUUGAUGGGUAAUCUGUUGACUAUUUUGACUGUUAAUCGGGUAAUCUGUUGACUAUUUUGAUUGUUAAUCGGGUAAUCUAUUAUUUUUUGUGGUUUUUGGAUCAAAUCCUUGAUCAAAUCCAAACAACAUUUAAUUCAAAUGUCCACUUAACCUUUAAUAUACACUAUAUUGACAAAAGUUUUGGGACGCCUGCCUUUACGUGCACAUGAACUUUAAUGACAUCCCAUUCUUAAUCCGUAGGAUUUAAUAUGGAGUUGGCCCACCCUUUGCAGCUAUAACAGCCUCAACUCUUCUGGGAAGGCUUUCCACAAGGUUUAGGAGUGUGUUUAUGGGAAUUUUUGACCAUUCUUCUAGAAGCACAUUUGUGAGGUCAUGCAGUGAUGUUGGCGAGAAGGCCUGGCUCGCAGUCUUCGCUCUAAUUCAUCCCAAAGGUGUUCUGUCGGGUUGAGGUCAGGACUCUGUGCAGGCCAGUCAAGUUCCUCCACACCAAACUCGCUCAUCCAUGUCUUUACGGACCUUGCUUUGUGCACUGGUGCGCAGUCAUGUUGGAACAGGAAGGGGCCAUCCCCAAACUGUUCCCACAAAGUUGGGAGCAUGAAAUUGUCCAAAAUGUCUUGGUAUGCUGAAGCAUUAAGAGUUCCUUUCACUGGAACUAACUCCACACCAUAAUCCCCCCUCCACCAAACUUUACACUUGGCAAAAUGCAGUCAGGCGAGUACCGUUCUCCUGGCAACCGCCAAACCCAGACUCGUCCAUUGGAUUGCCAGACAGAGAAGCAUGAUUCGUCACUGCAGAGAACACGUCUCCACUGCUCCAGAGUCCAGUGGCGGCGUGCUUUACACCACUGCAUCCGAUGCUUUGCAUUGCUCUUGGUGAUGUAAGGCUUGGAUGCAGCUGCUCGGCCAUGGAAACCCAUUCCAUGAAGCUCUCUACGCACUGUUCUUGAGCUAAUCUGAAGGCCACACAAAGUUUGGAGGUCUGUAGCUAUUGACUCUGCAGAAAGUUGGCGACUUCAUGCGCUGACCCCGCUCUGUGAUUUUACGUGGCCUACCACUUCGUGGCUGAGUUGCUGUUGUUCCCAAUUGCUUCCACUUUAUUAUGAUACCACUAACAGUUGAUCGUGGAAUAUUUAGUAGUGAGGAAAUUUCACGAAUGGACUUAUUGCACAGGUGGCAACCUAUCACGGUACCACGCUUGAAUUCACUGAGCUCCUGAGAGUGACCCAUUCUUUCACGAAUGUUUGUAGAAGCAGUCUGCAUGCCUAGGUGCUUGAUUUUAUACACCUGUGGCCAUAGAAGUGAUUGGAACACCUGAAUUCAAUGAUUUGGAGGGGUGUCCCAAUACUUUUGGCAAUAUAGUGUAUCUCAUCAGACUGCAUAUGCCUUCCCAAAUACACAUUAUUGGAAACCCAAAUAAACAACACAUGCAGAGACUGAAUUCAUGUAGAGCAGCAUUUACUAUGAACAGAGCCGCUCUGAAAUGCUCGUCUGUGAAAUGCGCCACUUCCAGUAUUUUGCCAGGUUAAUCAACACAGGUAAACUGCAAUCAAGGAUUUUUUU
Molecule: long non-coding RNA, 2089 nt
Organism: Ctenopharyngodon idella (grass carp)
Lineage: Eukaryota; Metazoa; Chordata; Actinopteri; Cypriniformes; Xenocyprididae
Exons: 2
Source: RefSeq, a predicted model, not a curated record